GGUCCCGUAGCUGAAGCAGCCAAAGCCUCCCGUUGUCGGCGGGAAGAGUGAGGGUGCAAAUCCCUCCGGGACCGCCA
This 77-nucleotide transfer RNA is filed under the name Limisphaerales bacterium. Its description in RNAcentral is "Verrucomicrobia subdivision 3 bacterium (sediment metagenome) tRNA-Asp". It matches the Rfam family "tRNA". Rfam says of the family: Transfer RNA (tRNA) molecules are approximately 80 nucleotides in length. Their secondary structure includes four short double-helical elements and three loops (D, anti-codon, and T loops). The record is from RNAcentral. Lineage: Bacteria; Pseudomonadati; Verrucomicrobiota; Verrucomicrobiia; Limisphaerales.